This 68-nucleotide transfer RNA is filed under the name Signoretia aureola. RNAcentral's name for it is "tRNA-Glu". The record is from RNAcentral. Lineage: Eukaryota; Metazoa; Arthropoda; Insecta; Hemiptera; Cicadellidae.
GUUUAUAUAGUUUAUAAAAAACAUUUUAUUUUCAUUAAAAAAAAGAUAAUUAAUUAAAUCUGUAAAUU